AUGAUGUCAUAUUCAUCUCAAGCAUCACCUUAUUAUUCUUCUACUCCAAUGGGAAAUGAAAAUGUUCCUAAUGUUGGACUUGAUGAAUUUCCUGAUUUUUUUUACACAAACGGCUCUUGGUGGCAUGAGCGGUGGUCAUGGAGCCACUCCAAAUGUAGAGGAUUCAACUCCUGUUCGUCGGAAAAGCCCCAAAUGGACCAUUGA
Vicia faba (fava bean) is the source of this 204-nucleotide non-coding RNA. The record is from the annotation of a GenBank genome assembly. NCBI's taxonomy places the organism in Eukaryota, Viridiplantae, Streptophyta, Magnoliopsida, Fabales, Fabaceae.